This 345-nucleotide unclassified non-coding RNA is filed under the name soil metagenome. RNAcentral's name for it is "partial contains 5.8S ribosomal RNA, internal transcribed spacer 2, and large subunit ribosomal RNA". The stretch from base 1 to 120 matches the Rfam family "5.8S ribosomal RNA", at positions 35 to 154 of the family's 154-position model. The record is from RNAcentral.
GAUGAAGAACGUAGCGAAAUGCGAUAAGUAGUGUGAAUUGCAGAAUUCAGUGAAUCAUCGAAUCUUUGAACGCACAUUGCGCCCGCCAGCAUUCUGGCGGGCAUGCCUGUUCGAGCGUCAUUUCAACCCUCGACAUCCCCUUGGGGAAGUCGGCGUUGGGGACCGGCAGCACACCGCCGGCCCCGAAAUUGAGUGGCGGCCCGUCCGCGGCGACCUCUGCGUAGUAAUCCAACCUCGCACCGGAACCCCGACGUGGCCACGCCGUAAAACACCCAACUUUCUGAACGUUGACCUCGGAUCAGGUAGGAAUACCCGCUGAACUUAAGCAUAUCAAUAAGCGGAGGA